RNAcentral lists this long non-coding RNA (2343 nucleotides) under Hordeum vulgare. RNAcentral's name for it is "long non-coding RNA (HVUL_LNC011275)". Lineage: Eukaryota; Viridiplantae; Streptophyta; Magnoliopsida; Poales; Poaceae. The record is from RNAcentral.
UGACAAUGUACUAACAGGAGUCAUAGAGCCAGCCAUGCUUCGAAUGGUAGCAAGAGUGGCAUAGGGCCAGCAGGUGGUGGCGGGGCUCCCAUUUCCGGUGGAGUCGUCUGGCUUCUCAUAGCCGCAUACAUAGCAUGUAUGUUAGUUGAUCACGCAAACAAGAAGGUCAGAAGAAAUGAAAUUGCAAAAAUUAGGUUGGUUCUAACUAGGCAGAACUAACCAUCAUCAUCUUGCGGUUGAACUCCUCGUUUGCCUGAACUCUUUUGCAGUACUCUCGUAGCUCCACGCACUUAAACUUGACAUACUUAGAGUAUGCCUACAAUAUGACAUGGUGAAACUCAUAAAUGGUAGCAGUGUCGUCAGUGGAGACGCCCCAGACCCCGGAGCCCCGCGAUGGGCGUCUACGCAUGCCACAUCACUUCCAGAAAUGCAUGAGGGCCCGUGCGAUGUUUUGGUGGCAUGGNNCCCCCCCCCCCCACCCCCGACUAGAGUAAACCCUGGCCCCGUUGACCCGACGAUCUAGACCUUUGACUUUCGCCAGACGGACUUUGACCAAUGGACUCUUCCAUCUGCUUGUGAUAGGUCAGCCCAUAGAAACAGCCCCGAACAUGGUAUGGGCCCAAACCACCAUUAGAUUUCCUUUGGCUUGACCCGGCGCGCAUGCUUCCCCCCUCCAAGCGAUGACGACAGUGUCGUCCGUGGAGGGGCCCACACCUCGGAGCACCACGAAGGGCGUCUACGCAUGCCACAUCACUUUCAGACAUGCAUGAGGACCCGUGUGAUGUUUUGGUACCGUAGCUACCCCCCCCCCCAAAGCCCCCUUACCGGACUAACCCUAGCCCUGUUGACCCAAAGAUCUAAGCAUUUAACUUUCAUCGAACGGGCUUUGACCAAUGGACUCUUCCACCAGGUUGUGAUAUGUCAGCCCAUAGGAACAUCCCUAAACAUGGCCUGGGAUCAACCCACCACUAGAUUCUCUCCGUCUCGACCCGACCCACAUGUUGGCAACGGCAGUGCCGUACGUGGAGGUGGGCACCCCGGAACAUGACACAACACUUUAAAAAAAAUUCCGAUGUAUGUAGAUAUAAAUUUAUCUCGUUUGGCUAAGGAAUGAAUAUUUUUCGCUAAUCUGAAGUAAACAUGAUUUUAGUUUGUUCAAAUUUGAAAACAUAGUAUAGCAAUAUAAUCCUUUCAAGAUUACGAUAGAAAAUCAUUUAAAAGUUAUCAAUGAGGUUACAUUUGAUUUUUACUAAGUACAAGGACCUAUAUGCAAAGCACAUGAGGUUCCAUUUCUAACAUACUCAAAAGCAAAAAACAAAUUGCAUAUUCAUAAUCUAUGGAAAAUUCUACCCCAAAUAGAUAUGUAAUUUGUAUAUGUUUAAGUUUGUAUAAAACAGAUUUAAAUUAAUCAAUUUUAAGUUUAAAAAAUUUAAAAUAGAAACUAAAAAAACGAAUAAUAUCUAUGCCUACGGCAUGCUCAUCGGUAUAGUAUUGCCACGUGGCACCUGUUGGGUAAACAAAUGUAUAAUAUCUAUGCUGACGGUGUAGUUUCGACUAUACCUGGCCAUGGGCAGCCCGACCCGGACGGCCCGACCCUAAGAUCCUGGGCCGGGUCGGGCCUAUUUGUGCCAUCGGGUCGGUCUCAAGCCUGGAAGUUGAGGCCGACGGCCAGGCUGUGCCGGGCCGUGCUCGGGCCUAUGGAAAAACAAAUUUAAGCCGCAAUCUGGUCGGGCCUCGUCGGGCUUGUUCGGGCUUGGACCCAAUAUUAAGGCCAUAUGGUCGGGCUAGGCCUGGCUCGGGCAUGGAAUUUUAGCACAGGGCUUUUAUUGGCCCGGCCCGGCCCGAGCUAUGCCCAUGUAUAGUUUGGACGAUGUUAGCCAGCCGCCUGAGCCCGGGUCGGCAGGCCGACCUAUGUGCCGAUGGCGGGGUUAUACCGACGGCUCCCGUCAGCAUCGGUUGAGAUAUGUCGACGGACAUUCUAUGCCUACGCCAACCGUCGGAAUAGAUCGAUAUAUGCCGAUGACUUUUCUAUGCGUAUGGCAUAGCUCAGCCUAUGCCGACGGUCCCGACAAAACACAGUGGGCAUACACAAUUAUUCCGGUAGUGGAUAAGCUAAAAAGUGCAGUGCCACACAGAUCCAUCCCAUAGUUCCAUGACAUAAUAGUGUAAGAAGCAGGGAUGGAAUACUAGACAGCUCUUGGUGGUAUAAAAUCUGCAGUUGGUGACCAAUAAAUAAUUCUUCAUUGAACAGAAGUGAUAUAACAGAGAGCCUGCAUGUUGUAGGAAUCGUUCCAGAGAUGCCCCGUCGAGUAGAGAUUGAUGAUGUGCCUGUGCUUGAACCUU